UACGAAGGGGACUAGCGUUGUUCGGAUUUACUGGGCGUAAAGCGCGCGUAGGCGGAUCGCUAAGUCAGGGGUGAAAUCCCAGGGCUCAACCCUGGAACUGCCUUUGAUACUGACGAUCUGGAGAUCGGGAGAGGUUGGUGGAAUUCCGAGUGUAGAGGUGAAAUUCGUAGAUAUUCAGAGGAACACCAGAAGCGAAGGCGGCCAACUGGCCCGAUACUGACACUGAGACGCGAAAGCCAGGGGAGCGAACGGG
This 253-nucleotide ribosomal RNA is filed under the name uncultured bacterium. Its description in RNAcentral is "partial 16S ribosomal RNA". It matches the Rfam family "Bacterial small subunit ribosomal RNA", at positions 524 to 776 of the family's 1533-position model. The record is from RNAcentral.